Molecule: long non-coding RNA, 912 nt
Organism: Hibiscus syriacus
Lineage: Eukaryota; Viridiplantae; Streptophyta; Magnoliopsida; Malvales; Malvaceae
Exons: 3
Source: RefSeq, a predicted model, not a curated record
GAAAAUAGUGCCUUAAAAAUUUUAUUACUCAUACGAAAUUACAUAAGAUUUAACAAUAACUCCAUACUGUAAUACACAACAAACUUAACAACUCUACUAACAACCAAAAACCUAAAACUCAAACAAGAAAGCCCACUGAUAUAGCUGCUAUGAUUUAAUUUUCAUGUCUUGCAUAGUAUAGGGAACCGUUGCUCACGUAUCCCUCCCAAGCUCCCACGACCGAACAGUACCUUUCUCCUCUGGAUAUGUAUAGUGAACCACAAAGUUCUUUAACACCCAUUGAUGUUUCAAGAGUUUGAAGAGUUUUUUGUUAAUGUUGUGAAACAAAUAAAGAAUCAAAAAGAAAUGUAAAUGAAUGAUGGAAUUUUCUGGGUCAUCAGCCGCCUCUUAAUUUAUCUUUCUCCUGAUUAUUCUAUAUGUUCUCUUCGUAUAGUACUACUGCUACUCAUAUAUCAACAAAAAGAAAAAGAGAAAAAUCUUAAUUCAGAGCUAAAGAGAACAAAAAGAAAGAAAUUCCACCAACAAUGGGUUCCGAGCAGAACAGAUUCCCCCAGCAAGAGCGGUGAAAAUCAAUUGGGAGGAGGAGGAGAAAAAAUUAUCCGAGCUGGGCCCAUUUGAUUGAGACCUACUUAUACUCCUGGUGAAAUGCUGGAUUCCUUGGUGUGGUUGAUUUUCUUCUUUGUGCUUUGUUUUCGUUGAAUUGUCAUUAGUCAUCGGAGUUUUAAUUGUUUCGUUUUUCUUUGAUCGUACAUGCAUGUACUUUGUUUCUUUCGCUCUUUGUUCAUCUACAGAUCCAGCUACUUCACUGCUUCCAAAGUUCAAAUUCUGUUUACCGAAUAAUUUUUAUCGACGAUAGUUAACUGUUUAAGAUACAUAGAUCCCUUCUUUCGAGUCUUGAACGUGAUUUACCUA